Molecule: ribosomal RNA, 416 nt
Filed under: uncultured bacterium
Lineage: Bacteria
Description: bacterial SSU rRNA
Rfam family: Bacterial small subunit ribosomal RNA
Source: RNAcentral
UGAGGAAUAUUGGUCAAUGGGCGCAAGCCUGAACCAGCCAUCCCGCGUGCAGGAAGACGGCGCUAUGCGUUGUAAACUGCUUUUCCAGGGAGAGAAACUUGCGCACGUGUUGCGCAAUUGACGGUACCCUGGGAAUAAGCAUCGGCUAACUCCGUGCCAGCAGCCGCGGUAAUACGGAGGAUGCGAGCGUUAUCCGGAUUCAUUGGGUUUAAAGGGUGCGUAGGCGGACUAUUAAGUCAGUGGUGAAAUCCUGCAGCUUAACUGCAGAACUGCCAUUGAUACUGAUAGCCUUGAGUUUGGUUAAGGUAGGCGGAAUGUGUAAUGUAGCGGUGAAAUGCUUAGAUAUUACACAGAACACCAAUUGCGUAGGCAGCUUACUGAGCGGACACUGACGCUGAGGCACGAAAGCGUGGGGA